UAGGGAAUCUUCCGCAAUGGGCGAAAGCUUGACGGAGCAACGCCGCGUGAGUGAUGAAGGUCUUCGGAUCGUAAAACUCUGUUAUUAGGGAAGAACAAAUGUGUAAGUAACUAUGCACGUCUUGACGGCACCUAAUCAGAAAGCCACGGCUAACUACGUGCCAGCAGCCGCGGUAAUACGUAGGUGGCAAGCGUUAUCCGGAAUUAUUGGGCGUAAAGCGCGCGUAGGCGGUUUUUUAAGUCUGAUGUGAAAGCCCACGGCUCAACCGUGGAGGGUCAUUGGAAACUGGAAAACUUGAGUGCAGAAGAGGAAAGUGGAAUUCCAUGUGUAGCGGUGAAAUGCGCAGAGAUAUGGAGGAACACCAGUGGCGAAGGCGACUUUCUGGUCUGUAACUGACGCUGAUGUGCGAAAGCGUGGGGAUCAAACAGG
RNAcentral lists this ribosomal RNA (429 nucleotides) under Actinomycetes bacterium. Its description in RNAcentral is "Actinobacteria bacterium partial 16S ribosomal RNA". It matches the Rfam family "Bacterial small subunit ribosomal RNA", at positions 355 to 776 of the family's 1533-position model. Lineage: Bacteria; Bacillati; Actinomycetota; Actinomycetes. The record is from RNAcentral.